AGACUUCCAUCAUUUAAUACUAUUUACUGCCACUUCAGAGAACACUUUCCUGAAAAGGGAGAAAUUUGUCCUAAGUGGUACAUAAAGGUUCUGUGCUUAUAAAACAUCAUACCAGAAAUACUCUUAAAACACACAAACAUCCCUUUACCAGGAUCUACUCAGUGACUUCUUAUAAUGAUCAAAUACAUAGAAAUACAAACAUAACCAGCUAGGCAGGGCAUUUAUCUGUUGUACUUCAUUCCCUGGAGAAAUACACUCUUGAUGUUUAUUAUGAAAAAACUUGAUAUUUCCUAGAUACAAGUACUGCAGACAGGGAGAUGAGAAUGGUCAUAUUUGCUAUGAGGCCAGAAUUCAAGCUUAUACCACCAUUCCCUGAUAGCUCAAACAACAGUUGAAUCUAACCUGCCCAUUUACGUCUAACCUAGUGAUUCUUCUAUUAUACUGUUUUUUUUUCCCCCAGCACUCAAUGCCUUUUAAGAGGGUCACAGCUUUCUGGCUUAGAGCAUCUUUGGAGAAAAAAAAAUGGCAGCUUUUUGUGUGGGUGCAAUAACUUCUUAGGAAGUAAUACCUCACCUCAUCAAGGAGGUGUAGGUUUUAGAUGCUGCUAUGGAGACAACAGUCACAUUUUACAUGUAUUUUAAAAUUAAAAACACAUUAUAGCAGUAUUGAAAUUCAUUUUAAAAUACCAAAUUAUUUCUGCACUUGGAGGCAGCUAUGGUGGUCACCAAGACCAAAGGAUUUUCAUU
This 746-nucleotide long non-coding RNA is filed under the name Bos taurus (domestic cattle). RNAcentral describes it as "long non-coding RNA NONBTAT011335". The record is from RNAcentral. Lineage: Eukaryota; Metazoa; Chordata; Mammalia; Artiodactyla; Bovidae.